GAUGAACGCUGGCGGCGUGCCUAAUACAUGCAAGUCGAGCGAACAGACGAGGAGCUUGCUCCUCUGACGUUAGCGGCGGACGGGUGAGUAACACGUGGAUAACCUACCUAUAAGACUGGGAUAACUUCGGGAAACCGGAGCUAAUACCGGAUCAUAUAUUGAACCGCAUGGUUCAAUAGUGCAAGACGGUCUUGCUGUCACUUAUAGAUGGAUCCGCGCCGCAUUAGCUAGUUGGUAAGGUAACGGCUUCCCAAGGCAACGAUGCGAGGCCGACCUGAGAGGGGGGUCGGCGAAGCGGGAAGUGAGAGACGGGGCAGAGUGGGACGGGAGGGAGCAGUAGGGAAUGUGCCGCAAGGGGCGAAAGCCUGACGGAGCAACGCCGCGGGAGUGAUGAAGGGCUGCGGAUCGUAAAACUCUGUUAUUAGGGAAGAACAAAUGUGUAAGUAACUAUGCACGUCUUGACGGUACCUAAUCAGAAAGCCACGGCUAACUACGUG
RNAcentral lists this ribosomal RNA (497 nucleotides) under uncultured bacterium. RNAcentral describes it as "partial 16S ribosomal RNA". It matches the Rfam family "Bacterial small subunit ribosomal RNA", at positions 28 to 507 of the family's 1533-position model. The record is from RNAcentral.